GGCAUGGUAGCUCAAUGGAAGAGCAUCAGUCUUCUGAACUGAAGUGUGCAGGUUCGAGCCCUGUUCAUGCUA
Molecule: non-coding RNA, 72 nt
Organism: Seminavis robusta
Lineage: Eukaryota; Bacillariophyta; Bacillariophyceae; Naviculales; Naviculaceae
Source: the annotation of a GenBank genome assembly